CUUCACCGUGCCGAGCAGCAGCGGACGGUCCUCCGGCCGGUGCUGCCCGUAGGUCGCCAGCAGCGCCUGGGCCUC
Streptomyces albireticuli is the source of this 75-nucleotide non-coding RNA. It matches the Rfam family "ASpks TB sRNA". Lineage: Bacteria; Bacillati; Actinomycetota; Actinomycetes; Kitasatosporales; Streptomycetaceae. The record is from Rfam.